RNAcentral lists this ribosomal RNA (440 nucleotides) under uncultured bacterium. Its description in RNAcentral is "partial 16S ribosomal RNA". It matches the Rfam family "Bacterial small subunit ribosomal RNA", at positions 338 to 795 of the family's 1533-position model. The record is from RNAcentral.
CCUACGGGAGGCAGCAGUGGGGAAUAUUGCACAAUGGGGGAAACCCUGAUGCAGCGACGCCGCGUGAGUGAAGAAGUAAUUAGUUACGUAAAGCUCUAUCAGCAGGGAAGAAAAUGACGGCACCUGAGUAAGAAGGCCCGGCUCACAACGAGCCAGCAGCCGCGGCAAUACGUAGGGGGCACGCGUUAUCCGGAUUUACUGGGGGUUAAGGGAGCGUAGACGGUAAGGCAAGUCUGGAGUGAAAUGCCGGAGCUUAACUGCUGGACUGCUUUGGAAACUGGCGAUCUAGAGUGCGGGAGGGGUAAGCGGAAUUCCUGGUGUAGCGGUGAAGUGCGUAGAUAUUAGGAGGAACACCGAUUGCGAAGGCAGCUUACUGGCGCGUAACUGACGUUGAGGCACGAAAGCGUGGGGAGCGAACAGGAUUAGAUACCCCUGUAGUC